Molecule: ribosomal RNA, 459 nt
Filed under: uncultured Pseudomonas sp.
Lineage: Bacteria; Pseudomonadati; Pseudomonadota; Gammaproteobacteria; Pseudomonadales; Pseudomonadaceae
Description: bacterial SSU rRNA
Rfam family: Bacterial small subunit ribosomal RNA
Source: RNAcentral
GCACAAGCGGUGGAGCAUGUGGUUAAUUCGAAGCAACGCGAAGAACCUUACCAGGCCUUGACAUGCAGAGAACUUUCCAGAGAUGGAUUGGUGCCUUCGGGAACUCUGACACAGGUGCUGCAUGGCUGUCGUCAGCUCGUGUCGUGAGAUGUUGGGUUAAGUCCCGUAACGAGCGCAACCCUUGUCCUUAGUUACCAGCACGUUAAGGUGGGCACUCUAAGGAGACUGCCGGUGACAAACCGGAGGAAGGUGGGGAUGACGUCAAGUCCUCAUGGCCCUUAUGGGUAGGGCUUCACACGUCAUACAAUGGUCGGUACAGAGGGUUGCCAACCCGCGAGGGGGAGCUAAUCCCACAAAGCCGAUCGUAGUCCGGAUCGCAGUCUGCAACUCGACUGCGUGAAGUCGGAAUCGCUAGUAAUCGUGGAUCAGCAUGUCACGGUGAAUACGUUCCCGGGUCUU